GAUUUUUAUAUAAUAAAUAAUUAAAUAAAAUAAAGAUAAAUUUUUAUUUUUAAAUUAUUAUAAUAUUUUAUUGGGGUAAUAAUAAAAUUUUAUAAAUUUUUAUUUUUUAUUUACGAAUUAUAAUUGAUUUUUUGAUCCAGUAUUAUUGAUUAUAAAUUUAAAUUACCUUAGGGAUAACAGCAUAAUGAUUUUUGAGAGUUCUUAUCAAUA
RNAcentral lists this ribosomal RNA (210 nucleotides) under Lutzomyia lichyi. RNAcentral's name for it is "partial large subunit ribosomal RNA". Lineage: Eukaryota; Metazoa; Arthropoda; Insecta; Diptera; Psychodidae. The record is from RNAcentral.